CAGUCGCCGCGGUAAUACGUAGGGUGCAAGCGUUAAUCGGAAUUACUGGGCGUAAAGCGUGCGCAGGCGGUUAUAUAAGUCAGAUGUGAAAUCCCCGGGCUCAACCUGGGAACUGCAUUUGAGACUGUAUGGCUAGAGUGUGUCAGAGGGGGGUAGAAUUCCACGUGUAGCAGUGAAAUGCGUAGAUAUGUGGAGGAAUACCGAUGGUGAAGGCAGCCCCCUGGGAUAACACUGACGCUCAUGCACGAAGGCGUGGGGAGCAAACAGGAUUAGAUACCCCGGUAGUCCCUGUCUCUUAUAA
Molecule: ribosomal RNA, 301 nt
Filed under: uncultured bacterium
Lineage: Bacteria
Description: partial 16S ribosomal RNA
Rfam family: Bacterial small subunit ribosomal RNA
Source: RNAcentral